This 497-nucleotide ribosomal RNA is filed under the name uncultured bacterium. Its description in RNAcentral is "partial 16S ribosomal RNA". It matches the Rfam family "Bacterial small subunit ribosomal RNA", at positions 28 to 507 of the family's 1533-position model. The record is from RNAcentral.
GAUGAACGCUGGCGGCGUGCCUAAUACAUGCAAGUCGAGCGAACAGACGAGGAGCUUGCUCCUCUGACGUUAGCGGCGGACGGGUGAGUCACACGUGGAUAACCUACCUAUAAGACUGGGAUAACUUCGGGAAACCGGCGCUAAUACCGGAUAAUAUAUUGAACCGCAUGGUUCAAUAGUGAAAGACGGUUUUGCUGUCACUUAUAGAUGGAUCCGAGCCGCAUUAGCUAGUUGGUAAGGUAACGGCUUACCAAGGCAACGAUGCGUAGCCGACCUGAGAGGGUGAUCAGCCACACUGGAACGGAGACACGGUCCAGACUCCGACGGGAGGCAGCAGUAGGGAAUCUUCCGCAAUGGGCGAAAGCCUGACGGAGCAACGCCGCGUGAGUGAUGAAGGUCUUCGGAUCGUAAAACUCUGUUAUUAGGGAAGAACAAAUGUGUAAGUAACUAUGCACGUCUUGACGGUACCUAAUCAGAAAGCCACGGCUAACUACGUG